UCCAUGAACAUGGAAUGAGGUUGCUGC
Molecule: non-coding RNA, 27 nt
Filed under: Bombyx mori (domestic silkworm)
Lineage: Eukaryota; Metazoa; Arthropoda; Insecta; Lepidoptera; Bombycidae
Source: RNAcentral